RNAcentral lists this ribosomal RNA (254 nucleotides) under uncultured bacterium. Its description in RNAcentral is "partial 16S ribosomal RNA". It matches the Rfam family "Bacterial small subunit ribosomal RNA", at positions 524 to 776 of the family's 1533-position model. The record is from RNAcentral.
GACGUAGGGCGCGAGCGUUGUCCGGAUUUAUUGGGCGUAAAGAGCUCGUAGGCGGUGUGUCACGUCGGCCGUGAAAACCUGCAGCUUAACUGUGGGCGUGCGGUCGAUACGGGCAUCACUGGAGUUCGGCAGGGGAGACUGGAAUUCCUGGUGUAGCGGUGAAAUGCGCAGAUAUCAGGAGGAACACCGGUGGCGAAGGCGGGUCUCUGGGACGUAACUGACGCUGAGACGCGAAAGCGUGGGGAGCAAACAGG